GACGAACGCUGGCGGCGUGCCUAAUACAUGCAAGUUGAGCGAUGAAGAUUGGUGCUUGCACCAAUUUGAAGAGCAGCGAACGGGUGAGUAACGCGUGGGGAAUCUGCCUUUGAGCGGGGGACAACAUUUGGAAACGAAUGCUAAUACCGCAUAAUAACUUUAAACAUAAGUUUUAAGUUUGAAAGAUGCAAUUGCAUCACUCAAAGAUGAUCCCGCGUUGUAUUAGCUAGUUGGUGAGGUAAAGGCUCACCAAGGCGAUGAUACAUAGCCGGCCUGAGAGGGGGAUCGGCCAAAUUGGGACUGAGACACGGCCCAAACUCCUACGGGAGGGAGCAGUAGGGAAUCUUCGGCAAUGGACGAAAGUCUGACCGAGCAACGCCGCGUGAGUGAAGAAGGUUUUCGGAUCGUAAAACUCUGUUGGUAGAGAAGAACGUUGGUGAGAGUGGAAAGCUCAUCAAGUGACGGUAACUACCCAGAAAGGGACGGCUAACUACGUG
This 497-nucleotide ribosomal RNA is filed under the name uncultured bacterium. RNAcentral describes it as "partial 16S ribosomal RNA". It matches the Rfam family "Bacterial small subunit ribosomal RNA", at positions 28 to 507 of the family's 1533-position model. The record is from RNAcentral.